UACGAAGGGUGCUAGCGUUGCUCGGAAUCACUGGGCGUAAAGCGCACGUAGGCGGCUUUUUAAGUCAGGGGUGAAAUCCUGGAGCUCAACUCCAGAACUGCCUUUGAUACUGAGAGGCUCGAGUCCGGGAGAGGUGAGUGGAACUGCGAGUGUAGAGGUGAAAUUCGUAGAUAUUCGCAAGAACACCAGUGGCGAAGGCGGCUCACUGGCCCGGUACUGACGCUGAGGUGCGAAAGCGUGGGGAGCAAACAGG
Molecule: ribosomal RNA, 253 nt
Filed under: uncultured bacterium
Lineage: Bacteria
Description: partial 16S ribosomal RNA
Rfam family: Bacterial small subunit ribosomal RNA
Source: RNAcentral